CCUACGGGAGGCAGCAGUAGGGAAUCUUCCACAAUGGGCGAAAGCCUGAUGGAGCAACGCCGCGUGGGUGAAGAAGGUCUUCGGAUCGUAAAACCCUGUUGUUAGAGAAGAAAGUGCGUGAGAGUAACUGUUCUCGUUUCGACGGUAUCUAACCAGAAAGCCACGGCUAACUACGUGACAGCAGCCGCGGUAAUACGUAGGUGGCAAGCGUUAUCCGGAUUUAUUGGGCGUAAAGGGAGCGCAGGCGGUCUGUUAAGUCUGAUGUGAAAGCCUUCGGCUUAACCGGAGUAGUGCAUUGGAAACUGGGAGACUUGAGUGCAGAAGAGGAGAGUGGAACUCCAUGUGUAGCGGUGAAAUGCGUAGAUAUAUGGAAGAACACCAGUGGCGAAAGCGGCUCUCUGGUCUGUAACUGACGCUGAGGUUCGAAAGCGUGGGUAGCAAACAGGAUUAGAUACCCCAGUAGUC
RNAcentral lists this ribosomal RNA (465 nucleotides) under uncultured bacterium. Its description in RNAcentral is "partial 16S ribosomal RNA". It matches the Rfam family "Bacterial small subunit ribosomal RNA", at positions 338 to 795 of the family's 1533-position model. The record is from RNAcentral.